Molecule: long non-coding RNA, 708 nt
Filed under: Monodelphis domestica (gray short-tailed opossum)
Lineage: Eukaryota; Metazoa; Chordata; Mammalia; Didelphimorphia; Didelphidae
Description: lncRNA (ENSMODG00000047185.1)
Source: RNAcentral
GAAAUCUGCUGGCGGUCAAGAGCAAGACCACCCAAGUCUGGGGAACUCUGAGUAGUCUGCUCUGCUCCCAGAACUUGUCAAAAAGCACGAAUUCUGCACAUGUCAGUGACCAAGCCUCAGUGGUUCUGGAAGUUCAUGGUCCGGCUUCCAGUAGGAGGUAGAAGACAAGAUUCAUGAAAGACCUGGGGGAUAGUUGGGACCAGCGAAUGGUUGCAGGAAGUGGAGCCUUCAGGUCAAUGGUGACUCCUGGCACAGCUAGGACCAGAACUCAGAUUUCCCAGCACCCAGACAUCCCCUUCCCACCCUCGCUUCUGCAAAGCCUGCAUUCGGUGGUUAGAGAAUAGUGAAGGGCAGACAGGAAUGCCUUCCUACUUCUUUCUAACAGAGAAGUUGAAGAAGAAAGAAGAAGAAAGAAGAAGAAGAAAGAAGAAGAAGAAGAAGAAGAAGAAGAAGAAGAGGAAGAAGGAAGAAGAAGAAGAAGAAGGAAGAAGAAGAAGAAGAAGGAAGAAGAAGAAGAAGAAGAAGAAGGAAGAAGAAGAAGAAGGAAGAAGAAGAAGAAGAAGGAAGAAGAAGAAGAAGAAGGAAGAAGAAGAAGGAAGAAGAAGAAGAAGGAAGAAGGAAGAAGAAGAAGAAGAAAGAAGGAAGAAGAAGAAGAAGAAGAAGAAGAAACAACCUACAUCUCAGUGCCCAGAGGAGUAAAAACAAUUA